GAUCCUGGCUCAGGAUGAACGCUGGCGGCGUGCGUAACACAUGCAAGUUGAACGACGGUGUCAUGAAGUGGUAACACGGAAUGGCAUACGGAGUAGCGGACGGGUGAGUACAACAUGAGAAGCUGUCCUUCAGCGGGGGACGAACGUCUGGAAGCGGACGCUAAUACCCCACUAGGCCGAGAGGUUAAAGCAGAGAUGCGCUGGAGGAGGUGCUCGUGCCCU
Molecule: ribosomal RNA, 222 nt
Filed under: uncultured bacterium
Lineage: Bacteria
Description: partial 16S ribosomal RNA
Rfam family: Bacterial small subunit ribosomal RNA
Source: RNAcentral